Molecule: transfer RNA, 74 nt
Filed under: Otolemur garnettii (small-eared galago)
Lineage: Eukaryota; Metazoa; Chordata; Mammalia; Primates; Galagidae
Rfam family: tRNA
About the family: Transfer RNA (tRNA) molecules are approximately 80 nucleotides in length. Their secondary structure includes four short double-helical elements and three loops (D, anti-codon, and T loops). Further hydrogen bonds mediate the characteristic L-shaped molecular structure. tRNAs have two regions of fundamental functional importance: the anti-codon, which is responsible for specific mRNA codon recognition, and the 3' end, to which the tRNAs corresponding amino acid is attached (by aminoacyl-tRNA synthetases). tRNAs cope with the degeneracy of the genetic code in two manners: having more than one tRNA (with a specific anti-codon) for a particular amino acid; and 'wobble' base-pairing, i.e. permitting non-standard base-pairing at the 3rd anti-codon position.
Source: Rfam by way of RNAcentral
GGGCCUGUAGCUCAAGGGGCUAGAGCGCCAGCCACAUACACCAGAGCCGGCAGGUUCAAAUCCAGCCUGGCCCG